GCGGUGGAGCAUGUGGUUUAAUCGAAGCAACGCGAAGAACCUUACCAGGCCUCCACCCCCUGGCGGCUACGGAAACGUUAGUUUCCCGUCGGGGCGGGGAUACCGGUGCUGCAUGGUUGUCGUCAGCUCGUGUCGUGAGAUGUUGGGUUAAGUCCCGCAACGAGCGCAACCCUCGUCCUGUGUUGCCAGCGUAGAGGCGGGCACUCACAGGAGACUGCCGGCGGCGAGCCGGAGGAAGGUGGGGAUGACGUCAAAUCCUCAUGGCCUUUAUGGCCUGGGCCACACACGUGCUACAAUGGCCGGUACAGAGGGAAGCGAAGGGGGAACCUGGAGCGAAUCCCAAAAAGCCGGUCUCAGUUCGGAUUGCAGGCUGCAACUCGCCUGUAUGAAGUCGGAAUCGCUAGUAAUCGCGGAUCAGCAUGCCGCGGUGAAUACGUUCCCGGGCCUU
RNAcentral lists this ribosomal RNA (448 nucleotides) under uncultured Carboxydothermus sp. RNAcentral's name for it is "bacterial SSU rRNA". It matches the Rfam family "Bacterial small subunit ribosomal RNA", at positions 929 to 1382 of the family's 1533-position model. Lineage: Bacteria; Bacillati; Bacillota; Clostridia; Thermoanaerobacterales; Thermoanaerobacteraceae. The record is from RNAcentral.